UUUUUUUUUGUAUCCGUGCACUUUAAAAACUCAAGCCUCGUGAAAAUUGAUUUCUUGCGUAAUUAUAGGAAUCCUCAUUAACUAGUUUCAGGUUUUAACCCGGAGUUCCGGGUACUCAUCACGCCCCGGGCUAUCACGCUCACCCCUUCUCCCCCCCUCUUUUUUUUUUUUUUUUUGCGAUUGCUUGUUCAGGGAGAUACAGUUCAGCAGACAGCAUUGUCAAAGAGAUGCGUUGGGUGACCCAGGAUGUCGCUCCUGAAAUAUUGCUUAGCAUGCCGGCAGUGGACAUGAUAUCUGAAAUGUUAUCUGUGUGCCUUUGAUACACGGUUCUGGUCUCCACAGAGCCAAUGUGCCGCGUUAAUUGUUUGAAUAGGAGAACAUGUAACUAUUGGUGGAGGGAUGAGGUUUACGACUCGGCUGCCUGAGGUAGAUUUCUACCAUCAAUGGUGGAUUGGACUUUACCACCAACAUGACUGCGUCAGUUGGUGACACGGACACGAUUUGAAAUCAGAAGUCACCGCGCCAUUGAUUUUCUUGGCUCGCUGCCUCACGGCGCAAUUUUUAACCCCUUGUGGGAUGGCUGAAUCUUCUAUGAGGAGGAGCUAACUAGAUUAUUAUUAUACUCCAUAGGAGAUCAUGUAUGGGCGGAGGGCAACACCCCUGGACACCUAACCUCAACAUAUGACAACUGCUGAAGCAGGCCUCAACUCCUUAUAAAUGAGCUGGGCUGCCUCUCAGACACCCGCACGAAGGAUACACAUUUCCAGACUUUCGUAAAAAGGAAGAGCAGCGAGACAAACCAAAUUCCACUAUACUCCACC
This 821-nucleotide small RNA is filed under the name Histoplasma capsulatum var. duboisii H88. Its description in RNAcentral is "Histoplasma capsulatum H88 hypothetical RNA". Lineage: Eukaryota; Fungi; Ascomycota; Eurotiomycetes; Onygenales; Ajellomycetaceae. The record is from RNAcentral.